UACGGAGGAUGCGAGCGUUACCCGGAUUUAUUGGGUUUAAAGGGUGCGUAGGCGGACUGGAAAGUCAGCGGUAAAAUCGAGAGGCUCAACCUCUUUCCGCCGUUGAAACUGUCGGUCUUGAGUGGGCGAGAAGUAUGCGGAAUGCGUGGUGUAGCGGUGAAAUGCAUAGAUAUCACGCAGAACUCCGAUUGCGAAGGCAGCAUACCGGCGCCCGACUGACGCUGAGGCACGAAAGCGUGGGUAUCGAACAGG
Molecule: ribosomal RNA, 252 nt
Filed under: uncultured bacterium
Lineage: Bacteria
Description: partial 16S ribosomal RNA
Rfam family: Bacterial small subunit ribosomal RNA
Source: RNAcentral